Molecule: ribosomal RNA, 412 nt
Filed under: uncultured bacterium
Lineage: Bacteria
Description: partial 16S ribosomal RNA
Rfam family: Bacterial small subunit ribosomal RNA
Source: RNAcentral
UGGGGAAUAUUGGACAAUGGGGGCAACCCUGAUCCAGCAAUGCCGCGUGUGUGAAGAAGGUCUUCGGAUUGUAAAGCACUUUCGACGGGGACGAUGAUGACGGUACCCGUAGAAGAAGCCCCGGCUAACUUCGUGCCAGCAGCCGCGGUAAUACGAAGGGGGCUAGCGUUGCUCGGAAUGACUGGGCGUAAAGGGCGUGUAGGCGGUUUACACAGUCAGAUGUGAAAUCCCCGGGCUUAACCUGGGAGCUGCAUUUGAUACGUGUAGACUAGAGUGUGAGAGAGGGUUGUGGAAUUCCCAGUGUAGAGGUGAAAUUCGUAGAUAUUGGGAAGAACACCGGUGGCGAAGGCGGCAACCUGGCUCAUGACUGACGCUGAGGCGCGAAAAGCGUGGGGAGCAAACAGGAUUAGGA